Molecule: unclassified non-coding RNA, 311 nt
Filed under: Hevea brasiliensis (rubber tree)
Lineage: Eukaryota; Viridiplantae; Streptophyta; Magnoliopsida; Malpighiales; Euphorbiaceae
Source: RNAcentral
AAAGAAUGCAGUUGCCAUCCUCUGGGAAUAGAACCCGAAGUCCUCUGCAGCCAUCGAAGCUGGGGAAUGCUGAACGUUAUUAUUGCCAAGCAAGAUUUCUCCAACUCUUUUACUAUGAUCAUAGAUCUUGGGGUCAUUUAUAGUUGGUGGAUAUGGCCUCAUUUCCUCCAUGAAAUUGACAGUGGCAGAACACUGAUGUACGCCAGCUUGAGUCUCGAUUAUCUCUUUGAUUCUCUGCUUAAGAUAGGAAUAUCCUUCUAAUGUCAUGAACCGGAAGGUGCCACCAAACCUUACACUUUCGGGGAUUAGAA